GAUAAGGUCCCCCCUGAGUCUCCUUUUCUCCAGGCUGAACCCCCAAGCUCCCUCAGCUGCUCCUCAUCAGCCUUGUGCUCUAACCCCUUCCCCAUCUUAGUUGCACAGAGGGAUGUGAUCCUCAAAAUCCGGUAGCUGGGACAAAGUGUUGGAGUCUCACUGCCAGUGCACUAGAACAGGGAAACACAAUAUACCUUGUAAAGUGUGCAUGGGCAAGUGCUGCCAGAGAGUCUUGUCAGAAAUUGCACAGGUUUUGUAGACAAAUCAGGCAAGGAUGAAGCUGAAUUUAGGAAAACAAUAGCUAAAAAUAUUUUCUGCUUUGCUAUAAGCAACAAAAACCUUGGAAGUGAAUUGGUUAGUCUGCAGGAUCCUGCUGUUAAAUAUCAGCUUUCCCAGCUUCAAUGGGAAAUGCUUUGCCCCAUGGUAACCGGGAUACUGUAAUAUUGCCUUGCAUUUUUGUCUUUUCUAUGUCUGCGGAGCUGUUUCCUCCAUUUUUUCAGUUACUGCUGUCAUUUCUGGUGCCUUUUAAUAUGCCAAAGUAACUCCUAGCAGAAGCACCAGAGGCUGAGGGGAAAUUGGGCUUUCUCUGCCUGAGCCUUUUUGUGCAGGGUUUUCUGUUUGCUGAUUAUUAUCUGGAACAAGCAGAAUUCUGACAAACGAGGGGGGGGAGAAAGGGCGCUCACAUUGCUUGAGCCUUUGUACCUUCCCCAGGUUGUUUUCCUCUGCUUGCUGGGUUACAAAGAUACAAUCACGGUACUUUAAUACUCUUGCUUAGGAGCGAGGGAUUUCCAGCUCCCCAAGGUGGAUUUCACUGAACAGCUCCAAGCCUGAUGAUGUGGGAAGGCAGAGGCUGCAGGACAGGCUGUGCUGUGCAGCUUUUCUUGCUUUUGAUUAGAGCUCAUCGCGUGUUGAGGAUAACUUGCCGUAAGGGGUAACCAGCGCACGCUAAGGCAGUGCCAAACAGCCGAUUGCUCUAUUAUAAUAAGAAGACUUAAAACCUUCCUCCACAGUGGGUCACCCCGAGUGUGCUUUUAUCCCAGCCCAGGUGUCCCGUGGCUGUUUGGGUACAAGGGCCAUUGUUGUGGUUUAACCCCAGCUGGCAGCUAAGCCCUGCACAGCGCUCGCUCACUCCCCCCAGGUGGGAUGGGGGAAGAGUCAGAAGACUAAGAGUGUGAAAACUCGUGGGUUAAGAUGAAGACAGUUUAAUAGGUAAAGCAAAAGCCACACACACAGCAAAGCAGGGAAUUCAUUCACCACUUCCCAUGGGCGGGCAGGCGCUCAGCCAUCGCCAGGACAGCAGGGCUCCAGCACGUGUAGCGGUUACUUGGGAAGACAAACAUCAUCACUCAGAAUAUCCCUCUCCUUCCUCCUUCUUCCCCAGCUUUACAUGCUGAGCAUGACACCAUAUGGUGUGGGACAGCCCUUGGGUCAGCUGUCCCGGCUGUGUCCCCUCCCGACCCCUUGUGCCCCCCCAGCCUCCUCGCUGCUGGGGGGGUGAGGAGCAGAGAAGCCCUUGGCGCUCUGUAAGCGCUGCCCAGCAGUAACGAAAACAUCGGUGUGUUACCAGCGCUGCUUCCGCCUGACAGGCGGCUGCCAACUUUUGAAGGGCAGAUCGCUGCUGUUUUCUCCCCCCGCAUGCUUAGGCAUCUCAGACACCACCAGCCACAAACAGGGAGCCUGGAGCCCCGUCCUUCCCCACUCUGCGCUUGCUCCAGUCUCUUGCUGUUUUCUUUUUCCUGCCCUGCAUUGAUACUUCCUUCACACUUCUUCUGGUCCUCGAUCACCAGCAGCCAGGGCAUUGCAGCUGUCUAUAUUUUAACUUAAAGUGAGUGGCAUCUUUUCUCCUGGCAACAGGCUGCCUUGCUUUCUUCCCCUCUCCUUCGAUAAAAAGUGACAAGUGCUCCUUCACAGAGCAGCACAAUCAAAGGAGCCGCUCAAAGAGAGCUGACAGUAAGUUGUGUGCUGGCUGCAAGCUGUUUUACCGUGGGACCGCUUAAAUAGAGUUCACAUCCUUCCCAUCUCUCUCCCUCAUGUGACAAUGCCUUGCACCCUUUCUGAUGAUAUCAGAGAUUAUCUCAUGGUGGCUUAUCUGAAUAAUCAGCUCUGGGGUUUCUAAACUGUCUAGAGGGAUUUUUUUGGCAGCUCUGCAAAGCUCUCCGAAAUGUGGUACAAUGCAGCUGAGAGCCGUGCCAGAGGGCUUCGCUCCUUGCUCUGCCGCUCAGCACCCUGCUAAUGGCUAGGUCAGUAUAUAAGAGGCUUUUCUAAACAUUUCAGGAUGCACUGAUGUGUCUUUAGCCCUGGUUCAGGCAAUCACAGACACUCUUUGGAUGCAGGAUUGCAUCUUACUGAGUGCCAGCACUGCCUAACAGCAAGGGAGCCUCUCGGCAAUGCUGCAAAUCAAUAAUGUCUGUAGUUUUUCUCCAAAUUCCCUCGAGCCAAGGGUUUUACCUCUCCCCUGCCUUCAUCUUCAGCAGUCUUCUUCAGUAGUAAUGGGCAUCUGUUACCCACUACCUCGGUGCCAAACAUUUUCAAGUCUGUGUUGGAGGGAUCUUGACUGAAACCGCUACUGUUACUGGUAGCAAGCCGACGAUGAGCAUCUGUGCUACCCAGCAUAGCUCCAGUCUCAAAGGGAGUGUUUGUCAGGCUCCUUUUGGUUUGUAAUGGCUGCUUUUACAGUACAGCAGUCAAUUCAGCAGAUAGCAGUGUAAGCACUGAUGGUGGAUACGGCUGCUCCCCUCUGCUCACCACCGUGGAUAUGCGGAGGGCAAAGUCAGCAGGAUGGUAGCACAAGCUUUAAGUUAAACACAUGCUUAAAUUCCCUCUAGGGUAAGGUUGGGUUUUGUAACCCAGCCUUGCAAUUAGGAAGGAAAAUGCCUGCCAUGGCCACGUGUGCUGGGACAAACCCAUUGCUGCUGUGGCGAUGCCGCCAGGAGGGCUCGGUGCUAUUGCUGCCGCAGCUACGGAAAGGUGAAGAGUCCAGGGAGUGUUUUUUGCCUCAGGCUUAAAUCUGAGUCUGCUUAAAUGCCACUCCAUUUAGUUCUGUUUGGACCAAGUGCAUUUUAAGAAGAAGUUUAAGAAGAAGACUUUCAGAAAAAGUCACCAAGUCUUCCAGUCUGUCCUGCUUUGUAUCACCAGUCAUUUUAUUUUGGCCCAUUUUCCUAGAGAUGACCCAGUAAUGUGCACUGGACUCCAGCAUAUUUCCAGGAAGGCAUCAGUCUCGAUCUUCCUGUGUUUGGUGGGUUUUUUUCUUACUUUUAUCUACAGUAUGUUUCAGUGAGUUAUCACCUUCGCUGUUAAAUUAUUUAUUUUUUUCACUCCUCUAAUUUAAAUGAAUGUCGCUUUAGCUAACAAAUGUACCUUGGUAAAGAGCAUUAAGAAGCUCAGAUAACUACUUUGCAAAGAUUCUCCUUCUGCUGCUGUGUUAAUGAAACUGAAACACUCUUCCUUGCAGUGGUCUGUGUAAGAUAGCUGGACUUUUUACAUUUCAUAAUUAGUUUCUGGAUGAUUAUCUAUUAAUAUUUUCAUGCUUGAUUCCAUGCCCACGUCUGCUUUUGGCCAAGGUCUCUUUUGGCCAUCUUAUUUUGCAUAUUUGGACUAAGCCGUUGAAGAAAAUACUGCCUGUGCUGGAAUCAGGGAGACUGCAUUUGCUGAGCAGACUGGGGUAGCAAUUUGGGAACUUCAAUAAUUAGUCAUUUGUUUCUAGAAUUCUGCUUUGGAUGGCAUGUAAAUGUGAACUAACCUUUAGGAAUCCUCUGCAGCUCUGACACCUAACAUCAAACUUACACUUCGCAACAGGACAGGGAAGCUAUAAUUUAUGAGCUAGUGAAGUAUCUUUAAUUAAACCAGUAUUUUCUAAAUUUUGACUUAAUUUAAUUUUAAUCUAACAGAAAGAAGCAAUCUGAGUCCAACCAAGGUUUUCCUUAAAUACCAUCCUUGUUAUCUGGGAGGCUUUGAAUCAAGUAAGAUAGAUGAUUUUAAUUUCCAUGUUCUCAGUGUAACACUUGGGGUCAAUGUUUGCAUACUUAUCAUAGGCAGUUUACCAUUGACAACCACUGUAAUUGUUCAACUUUUCCUUGGUGAAGAUCUGAUUGACUAUUAUGCACUGUAUUUAUUAUGUCUCACACUAAAAUAUAGAUGAUUGAUUAUUCCAUUAUUCUAUUGACCAAGGCUGUAACAAGGUGUGACAAAUAUAUGCCAUUACAGUCCAUAACCAACUGUGGAAGGUAGUGCAGUCAGGUAGGAGAAUUCUAAUGCGUGCGACUCUCUGGAAAGCUUUAGGAAACUUUCAGGACACUGUAUUUAAAAGACUUUACCUGAAUAAAUGUUCUUCAUUCCUGCUAGGUACUUUCUAAGGAUAAAAAAAAAAGAUAACAGCCCCCAAUCUGAAAAGCUUAGAAUAUGAUUGAGAGCCCACUGGAUCCAAGGGAAUUUCUUCCAGUGAGUUGCUGGGCUUUGGCAGGGUCCUGAGGGUAAUCCCUCUGUUUACUUCACUGGGAGUUGUGUCAGCCCCUGGAAAUAUCACCAUUUGUUAGCUGCAUUAAGAUGUGUGGGGAAAAAAGUGUCUUCUGUCACUGACGUAACACGUUAACGUGAAUUAUGUGCACAUAUAAAGGGGGCUUAUAGUCGGAAAGAGAAAAACCCUGUAUUUUAAAGCUCUUUAUCUGCAGCUUGGUAUUUGAAAUACAUAAUUUAAUUAUCUUUGAACUCCUUUGUUCCUCCUUAAAAUAAAUCACGUUUAAUUUUCCUUCUAAAUAUCAUGCAUUGAUGGACACAGCACUGGGGAUCAUGGUAACAAAAUGGUGUUGAACCAGCUACUGGAAAUUAGGAGUAAUAAACAAUGCAUUUGCUACCAGUCUGUCAUAUUAAUUAGUCUUCAGAAUGUGUCAGUGCUUUUCAUUUGUAUUUAACGUUGCCUGAGCUUACUGCCAAUUAAAUACAAUGUUGUUAUCAAUUCAGCUCGCACGUGAUUACAUUGGAUUAAUGUGGUUAUUUUCUUUGAUCCACUAUAAUUAAAAAUCACAGUUGUGAUUUUAAACAAGUGUAAAAAUAUAAUAAGUUUGCAUUCACAGCUGCCUUUUUCUUCUAAUUUACUUUAAUAACAUUUGCCUCUAAUUAACAAUUGUGGAAGUCCCGGGCCUCAUUUAGCAGCUCAGAGGAGACAACAGCACUUUGCACGUGCCUGGGUGCUGUCCUCGCCCCCUGCCCAGCUGCAGUGGGCAACGUUUUCAAGCCAGGUCUAUGGCAGUUCAGUCCCCAGAUCCUCAAGGAGAACUCAUCAGCCUCAAGCCAAAAGAAAAUACCACCUUAAAACUCAAUACUGUUUCCCAUGAAGCCUGAUGGCUGAGUCUAACUAGCGUCUGCACUGUGCUUAAUUCCCAGGGAGGCUCGACCGCUGCGAGUGCUGCAGCAGGCUGUGCUGUGCAGCCGCCUUGUCCCCACAGGACCUGUCGCCCCAGCAGUUACACAGCCAAGAGGCACACGGAGACAUUGGUUCGUGCAAAAUGGGAGACCAUGACAUGCUGAGAAGACGCGAAUGCCUACAGGCUGAUCUACCCAGUUCUGGGUUUUUGGGCUUUGGCUUUCCACUGAGUCGGAGCUCUUGAUUUUGAGACCUUCCACCCAGAUGAGCAGGGAAACAGAGAGAUGGAUUUUUCAAGAGGCCACCAAGGCUUUUGUUUGGGAGCUUUGCCUCCCAGGUCGCCUAAAGCCACUGAGAAAGUUACCGCCUGAAUAAUUGUCAUCAGCAGUCACUCUGGGGCCACUGCAAAGGUCUUCUGUGCUACAAGAGGCAGAGUCUGCCUGUCCUGCUGCGUGCCCUUCCUUACCAGUUCAGAAAGCAGAUGAAUAAUAACGAAGCAAAGAAUUAAGCCUGAAUGAGUAGAAGUUAGCGAAACAGGAGCCAUGCCUUGCUGGCCCUUAGGUAAGUAAUGUGCAGCGUUCUGCUGAGGCAGGGCUCUCUGUGCACAUAAUAAGUAAUGUUCCAGUGAGAUGAAACCUCAGGCUCCUGAUUCAGCUGGUAUUUCUGGCAAAUUGUUGACCUAUUGCAGUUUGUUCAGGAUUUUUCUAGUCUUGGUAGAGUGGCUCUUAACAGUGACAGAUAUGUCUGGCUGUUUCUAACAAAUAUGCAGCUUUUGUGACUCUAAAAAUUCUAAUACCUUGAAGAACCCCAGAUAAUAAUUGCUCCUGUACUCUGCAGUAGCACUCUGUGUUUAUAAGCAAGGAAAAGAAUUAAUUAAAUAUUAAUUAAUAGGAUUUAAUAUAGCUGGUGCUAUCUUGUGUCAUAGAAUAACUCACAGGGACAAUUUUAAUUUCACCUGACGUACGUAUAUGGAUGAUUUCUCUCCCGGGCUGGAACCGGAGGACAGUGCAGCUGUGCUGCAGGCAGGGAGAAGGGCAGCCCGGCUAAUGAAAGGUGGCUGUGGGGAAAGGGUUCAGUGGAGCCGUUUGCCACAUGGAAAAGAUGUAAAGAGGAAAGCAGGAAAAUGGCCUGCCUUUCUGUUCACCUUGGGAAGGAACAAAUGCAGAAACCAUCUCCUUGCCUGGCUUUGAUGCAGCAGGUUUGAUGGAGAAAAUCCUGCUCUUUUAGAGCCCUUUUCCCUGCUUUAUGGUAGCACAAGCAAAAUUUUAGCCCAAUUUUGUAUCUGUUAAAAUUUAGAGGAAUUUUUGGAGUUCCUGUGAAGCGAACAAAACAUAAGGGCAUUGCUUAUGUCACUACAAAGAGAUGUGUCAAAUGGAGUGACAAAACCAAAUGCUAGCUUGUGCUUCACCACCUAUUAAGCCCAGCAAGAGGCUGUGAUCAAACCCCUUCUCUGAGUGUUGCUAAAAGGCUUUUAUUAGCGGAGCGAUGCAGCCUGUGGGGACCUGUCAUACUGAUGUUUCCCUGACAGGGGUCAGAGAUCAGACAAACUACUACAGCACUGUACAUCCAAGUUGUCUCUCAACAUCCUUUGGCCUCACGUUUCAUGUCACAUUAAGGCUUUUCUCCAAAGUACUUGUGUUUAAGGUGAAUCUCAGGCUGACGCUUGCACAAGCUCGUAGAUGUGCACCAGCAGCUGGUCGUUUGGUGAUUUCAGGGGGCUUGCCAUCGCAGCCCAGAGGUCAGGCAGUGCAUGGCUCACCUUUGGCUGCCAUGGGCUGGAUCUCCAUUGCAGCCCAGCCUGCAUGGGUGAGGAUGCUUGCAGACAGCUGAGGUCUUGGGAAUUGCUAAUGAAACCAACUGCUCUGCCAGCAAACUAUCCCGGGUCCCCCACUGGCUGUGUAAUUAAAAUGGGGACUGUACGGGUGUGAAGUUAAUGCUGUAUACAUAAUGUAUCUGUCCCAAGGUAAGCCUUCGCAUCUGUUCUCUGUAAAACUGUAAGUGCAGGAUAUAAUUAAGCGAGUGAGAAAUAGUUUGAGCUGAACACAGCAUUGUCCACCAGCAGCUCAAACCGCCUCUCCCUGAAGCAGUGCAGUGAGUCUAACCAGCCAGAGUUAGAGCUGGCAUAAAACAAGGCUGGAGGCGCUGGCGGAUAAGAACGUUUGUGGGUUUGGCUUUUUUUCCUUUCCCCCCUUUAUUCUGUCAUCGAGUACAAGGAGAAACUUCAGUCUGUAAAUGCCACCGGAUCUCCAUUUCACACUGACAUUCCCAGGGACAGCAGAACUGCUUGUAAAGUGUCUGUCACCCAACGAAAAUUGGGGAAAAAAAUAUCUUCCAGGCUUCUGCACACCUUCAUCUCUCCUAAAUAAGCUGUCGCUUAACCCUUGCCUGCCCUCCUCCUCCUGCUUCUGCCGGAGCUGAUGGUGAAAUGCUUGAUCUGCUGGGUGUGGGCAGUUCUUGGAGAGCUGCUCACGAGAUAGAAAAGAGGGAGGGGAAAAAACUUUUCCUGGAUUUUUAGGAACAUGCCUGAAAAUGCUUUUAUGUUCGUGACCCAGAAAGGCUCACCCAAAAGAUUUGCAACCACAGCCAAACACUGAACUGCCCAUCCGGGCUUUUCCUCCCACCUCACCUGGUUUUUUAGUUAAAUGUCAGUUUGCUUGUCAGCCCCCGGCUGUGGUUUUGAUGUUAUUUCCUCCCUUCUUUCAGCAGGAUGUCUUUGCUGCAGAAGGACAGAAGUGCCGCGGCGUGACAGCUCCUCUUUCCCAGCCAGGGCUGCGCAUGUGAGCAAGGGGCUCCGGCAGCGGCCGGGCGCACGAGGGAUGGGCAGGCAGACAUCAGACAGACAGGCAUCACAUCUCCUGGCCGGGCUGGUGCCAGGAAAGGAAAGGAGGUGUCAGGGCAUCUGUCAGGCCCCAAAGCAGCAGUUGGCAGAUUUAAAAGUGAAAUGUGCAAACGGGGGAUGUCCGCGCUCCAGUGGCCUCUCCAGGCACCAAGCAGGAGGAUGCCGCACGCAUCCAGGGCGCUGUGCUGGCCCCUCGGCUCCUGUUUGCUCACGGCUUCUCGUGAGUCAAUGGUGUGCAUGUUGUGUAUAAUCUUCGGUGAUGGGCUGCUGAUCUUCUACACUGUUUGUGCCAGCCCAGCCUCGGAGAGCCCCACCUGAGCAGCUUUUCCUUCUGGUGCUCCCGGAGAUAAGUACAAGCUGCUCUGUCUGUCUGUGUAUUUGUGUAUAGGUAUGUCCGUGCAUACGCCUGUGUGUAUAUAUAUAGUGUUGUCUUGGAUCAUUAGAGGUUAUUACCUAAAUCUUUUCACAUUUGUGUCUGCCAGGCAAUAAGCAAGUAUUAUUAAAACAGGGCUGCUUAAAUGAAAGCAGCUGGAGAAUAGUUUUCAUUACAAGGCUGCCAAAUUAUUUGAGCAAUCUCCUCACCUUACCUCAGGCCUACCCAGGGGCUGCAACUCAAAUGCCAGAAACUCAUUUCUGUCGUUUUACUUUUAUUUUUUCAUUCAUUCAUAUGCACAAGUUGAGAUACAUAAAUAUAUAUAUAUGUGUAUUUGUAUACAUAUGUAGACAGACACCAGUUAUACCUAUAUAUAAAGACCUUAAAGAUCUUAAAAAAUGUACAUUCAAAAUAUAUGUAGAAUUAUAACAGUAUAAAUGUACCCAAUGAAUAGCACGAAAAUAUAACAUAUUGUUUUCAUAUAAUUGUGUAUAUUAUAUAAUUAUUAUUAGUAUAUCAUAUAAUUACCGUGAUGAUAAGUAGAUAUGUAUAUAUAGUUAGAUUUAUUCAUUAUAUCCAUUCUAUAUUAUAUGCAUAUAUGCAUAUUCAUAUAAACAAAUAUACACAUAUCUAUAUAUAAAGUCCUUCUAAAGUACCUUCAUAUGGUUAUAUUUAUAUGAGGUCUAUAAUAAAUAUGUUAAAUGUAUAUAUAAUAUUAUAUGUGUAUAUGUAUAUAUAGAAAGGUCUUAUAUAUGUGGGUGUAUAUAUGUGUAAAUACAUACGUCUGUAUGUAUAUAUAUAUAUAUAAAAAUGUUUUUUAAAGGUCUUUAUAGAUACAUACACAACCAGCAUAUAUAUAUAUGCAUAUAGAAAUGCAUAUAUACACAUUUUAUAUAUUAAAAACAGAAUUUCUUUUUCAGCUCUAUAAAGACCUUUAUAUACAACUACCUGAAAUCUGUCUAUGUGUACCUAGUUAACGCAUGUAUUUUGCUGGGAGGGCUGCGGCGCCGGUGCCUGGCACAGCUGUGCUCGGUGGUGGCCACAUCACCUGCCCAAGAGGUCCGGGGGAAGCGGCCGGCCCCCCGUGGGCUCUGCAGCGCCGGUGCUGCUGCUGUUGCCCCCCCUGCCCAGCAAAGCACGGCAAAGUUGUCUGUAGCAUCUCGCUUUCAGCUUGCACCAGAGUAUUUGUAUUUGUUUCCCUGUCCCUUCAUGCUGCCCUGCAGGGAAAGGAUGGGAUCUCUAUCUGCUUGCCCCCAUCCCUGACCAACAUUUCAUCUGUGUUUAGACCUGAUAAACACGAAGUGUGCAGAAGCCUGGCCCGUGGGAGAUGUGCAUGUGCACACAGGCACCUGGGGCUCACUGUCUUGCAACUGUUCAUUUUCCUCUCCUGUUUUAUUGACAGGCCUUGCCUCAACCUACCCCAAAAGUCACUGCAGAGAGUGGCUGAGGCCAGCAUAGAGCCAGAGCCCUGCUCCAGGGCCAGCAGUGACAGUAGGUCUUAGGAGAGGAGACCACGGGUGGAAAGGGUUGCUUUUCUUCUCAGCUGCUGCAUUUGACUGGAAACCUCUGUUCAGUGUUUUUAGUACAGGUACUUACUAAUGGUUUGCUUAUGAUCUGCAGCCUGGUUUAUGCCAGGAGAGGUCUGGGAUUCCAGCGUUCCCUUCCCUUCUGGUUAUGGGGCUCAGGGGGGCUUGUGAGCGCUGCUGGAGGAGGCUGAGGAUGCGGGCGGUACCUGGAAAACUCAGUUUAGCUGGGGCACAAACAUCUGUGCAGGCUUAAGGCGGUGCCGAGUUUCUGCCUUGCGUGCAGUUAGCUGAAGUUGUUGUGUUUGUUCGUGCUCCCUGGAAAGACUUUUAAUAUUUUUUUUCCCCCCCAUUUUAUUUUAUAUCCCUGGCUUGAAAUUUAUAAAGCGCUUGAUCACCCAAGGAGCUGUGCCACUCUACCAUCUGCAUCGUUGCACAGCGAGCAGGCAGGGACAGGCCACCUGCUUCAGAUCUGGAAAGUGCUUCUCAGUUUAAGGGGAAAAAAACUUUUAGGAAGGAGUUGGAGGCAGAAUUGGAUGAAAAAAUGUCUUCUUAGAAAGACCAAGAAUUAGCAGAAUCUGAGUGGCGCGAAGACGGAAGCCCUUGUAACAAAGCAAGGUCAGGAAAGGAAGGGAUGAAGGGAGACUUGCUUAGGCAGACCUACAAACGAUUAUUCAAAUGCACAACUUCUACAACCACAGGGCAAGAGGAGACUGGAGCGCUGCUGGCUCCUAGCACAGGGCAGGAGUGUGGGGGCAAGCAUCAUGUUUUGUACUGUCUUCCUCAAAGCGGGAGCAAUGCCUGGCUUUUGGUUGAGAAGGAAGAUUUGGAGCAUGGGCUUAAAGGCAACAUGGCAAAGGGACUGAAUGCAAAACAGGAGGUUAAGAAGGGUAUGCAGAAACAAAAUUCCAAAUCCAACAGCCCACAGUGAGUUAGGUUUUAUGACACUCAAUUACCCAGUGGGAACUUGCAACAGGUUGGGUUUUUUAGGUAUUUACAUACUUUUUGGGUUUUUUUAGGCACCGAGGGAGCAGGCUUGGGUGCCCAACAGCAGAAAGUGGGCAGUCUCUGUCCUGAACUUUGGAAGGAUCUGGCCCAUGGACCCACAGCAUGGGUGUUUGCUGAUGGUACCUGGUGAGGACGGCACAAACUCACAAGGAGCUUCAGAACAUUUUAGCGAAAGGACCUGGAAGACUGGCUGCCAAGCACCCGGCACUGCUGGUGCUCAGCUCACCCCCAGUGUGCCCAGGGAAGGGACACACAGGAGAUGGAUCUGGCCAGCCCCUUGCCUUCUACCUACAUGGAAACCAGUGGCUGUCAGUGGGCCAUGAAACCUUCCUCGUUCCAGCAGCAGGGAAAGGAAAACUCCCAGCAGUUUGAGGGAUUCAUGCAGAGACACAAAGCAAACCCACAUCGGAGACCUGGGAAAUUCCUGCUCUCCUCCAGCGUGUCAGUUUGCCUUGAAAGAUUUCCUUUCACAGCACUUGUUAUUUGCCACCUGCCAUAAGGACAGGGUCUGCAACCAGCCCAGCCUCCUCCCUAUGUUUCAGCUCUGAGCAACGCUAGAGGACACAGCGAGGAUGUCUGCGCUUUCCAGCCAAAGCAAUGAUCACCCAUGACCGAGAAACACAUGUCCAAAAGGAAGGGGAAAGCCCAGGGGGACACACCUGGAGGCAACCCAGAACCAAGAGGAGCAGCUGAAGGCAGGCCAGUGACUCUUGCUGCUUGGCCCCUUGUCUCUGCAGCGCUGCUGGUCAGGUUUAUCUCAAGGCCAUUCCAGCACCUACCAUCUCCCCAUGAACAGACAUGGUUGCCAGCUCCUAGACGCCUAAACAGCACAUUUUAGCUGCUCAAGGAGAGGAAUAACUUCACGAAACUCCAAAUAAGUGGUAAGUGGCAGCAAAAAGUGCAGGUCCAAGGGCAACUUGCCCAGGAACCCAGCUGGAGAAGUGCCAGCGGGUUGGUGCCCAUUCUGCAGCGAGACUCCUUACCCUGGGGGCCAGGAGGAGGUCACCAACAGAUCAAACACAGCAUCCAAUUACUUUCCCACUUUAAGUUAAAUUUUUAUUUUCUUGGAGUCACUUUCAAAAAAACAGGGUUGGGAGGAAAAAGGGUGGAGUGCAGGGGAGAGCAGAAGAGGGUGCUUGAGGGAACAGUGGAGAAAAUGUUCACCCUGACAUGCCAAGCCAAAAGUACCCCCUGCCCCACCAAAUCUUUUUUUUUUUUUUCCCCCCCUUUUGUCAAGAAGGAAAAUUGUAUUUUCCAGCCAGCUCUAUUCAUGAGUGAUUGUGCAGAGCUCUGCUAAUGGGCUAUGCCAAGCUGUGGUCACCCUACAGAGCUAUUGGCAGGAGAGGUGGCAAGUUGGAGAGGACUACAAGGGAACUCUGCAUGAUAUUUUUUGAUGAGCUGAUUAUUCAGAAAUUUCACAAGAGCUGAAAUACAUCACUCUGUUCUGAAACUCACAGCCCUGCCAACACACAGGACAGCUUACAUGAGCAGCAGCGUUUUCUCCUUCACAGUGCUGCUGGCCUGUGCAUUAGCAACCAGAUGCAGGAAUCGGACAAGACUUUUCAGCAGCCAUCGACAGCAGUGACAGCGAGAGAUGGAAAGUGGGUAGAAGGACACAGAAAGCUGAGAUAGAAAUGAUUUAGGUACUUUCACAGCUGUCACUAUGUGAGUAUUUGGGCUUGAAAGUUUUUCAUUAGCUCCAUGGGUACUAGGACAUAAUAAUUUUUAUUGCUUUACAGCUAGGAUGUGAGAUCACCCCCAGAUCCCACAUGUAUUCAAGUAUUCUUAUUUCAGGGGUUGCUCAGUCCCCAGUCACAUUUCAGGGUGCUAUCACAAGCCAGGAGCUGACCUUGACUCUCCCCGUCGCAGCCAGGAGCCUCUGUCUUAGGCAUUGUCCUGAGUCUGCAACCAAGUCAGGCUCCCACAGAGAAUAAACAAUCAUUUUCCCCUCUCUGCACCACUAAUUAUAAACAAAACACGGUGUUAGUUGAGCACAGGAUCAAAUGAGAGCAUGAUACCUGGGGGGGUUGGGCGCGUGUGUACUGGAGUGGGUUAGAAGCAGCACGGAGCUGAUUUUGGAAAUACUGCACAAAGACUCCAAGGAGCUGAUGGGGCAUGUCCCCAGACCAUUGAUCUGUCAACACACAAGCCCCUUUGAGCUACCUGGAGUGGCACCGACUGUCCCCUGGAGGAGCAGAGGCUGAAGCAAGACUGGUGCUGGAUGGCAAUUAAAAAACACCCUCCUGCUGUACUCACCACCUUUGUUGUAAGCACUGUAGAAUCCCUGCCUGCCUUAGUGCAAGCAGAUUUGCUGUAGGUCAACUAGACUGUCUAAAGCUCUCUUUGUGCACCAAGAACCAUAAUUGUGGUCCAGGCGAGCAUACUAGAAAGCCAAGUAGAGUCAUCCAGAACUGGGUGCCUGCGACCUUGCACAGCAUUGGCCCACGCUGCUGCCACGCCAAAGCCUUCAGGGACCAUUCCUAAUGGGUUUGCCCAGCCCUAAAAAUGUACAUGCAUGAACCGAUGGCUGCCAGGUAGCCUUCUCUCGGGACCGGGUACCCGGGCUGCCUGGCAGGGCAGGGACCGGGUGCACUGGCUGAUUGUGUGCUCCCAAUAACCCGGCCAUUCUCCUACCCGCAGGACUAACCAUGCCCAGGACAGCUCUUCUGCAAUUUCUGUUUCAAGGCAGGCAGGGGAACAGGGCACGUGGAGCCACAUCCUGCUCCCAGCCUGGUCCUACAAAAGUGAAUGAAGAGCACUGUAGCGGAACCGCAGCUGGUUUACUAAUGAAAAUAGAGGCACACAGCCACAGGCACUGCACCCCCUUGGAGGAAAUGCUCACUUCAGCAAAACAAACUUUUGGCAAUGAAAAAAGUCUGGGAGUCUUGCUUCUGUAUAAGAACAGGGAAGAAGAAUCCGAGCCGUGUAACAGCAACCACAGUUAGCUCUGUCCUGUUACGAAGCCACCCCAUUGGGACCACUCCACUUGCACCACAUCCAUCUAAGCCCCUGCAUGUGCGAUUUUUCUCCUGUUUUCUGCUUUUGGUGGAGGAGCUCAGCACUCUGAGGCAUCCCCCAGCCCAAAGGCAAGCCCUGGGCCUGACCAUAGCAAAGGCAAUUAUUUAAGGUUUUAAAGGACAAAGUUGGUUACAAAGACCAUCAAUGCCUUCAGCACAGCAUAUCCUCACAUUUCCAGCAACUGCAUCUUUGUAUGCAGCACCCUGCCUGUGGAAAAUUAAGUCUAUAGGAAGCGUAUUAAUGAUCCAGACACCAUCCUCGAGACUCAAGUCUUAUAAAAAGGGAGGGUUUACGCCACAUACUGCUGCAGGAUGUCAUGUACUUCAUGAUCUGCCUUUUCUAAUCUCGCCUUAUCUCUCACCCCAAUCCUUUCUCAUGUCCCUCAUCUAUUGCAAAUCCCCUUUUUAAGCUGGAGUGAAGCACAUAAAUAUUUUCAUGCUGCAUAAAUAGGUUGUUUUGUGCAUAAUGCCACAGGCGGCUUUUUUUU
Long non-coding RNA from Falco peregrinus (peregrine falcon), 14607 nucleotides. RefSeq lists it as uncharacterized. The record is from RefSeq and is a predicted model, not a curated record. NCBI's taxonomy places the organism in Eukaryota, Metazoa, Chordata, Aves, Falconiformes, Falconidae. The transcript has 7 exons.